RNAcentral lists this transfer RNA (71 nucleotides) under Marmota monax (woodchuck). It matches the Rfam family "tRNA". Rfam says of the family: Transfer RNA (tRNA) molecules are approximately 80 nucleotides in length. Their secondary structure includes four short double-helical elements and three loops (D, anti-codon, and T loops). Further hydrogen bonds mediate the characteristic L-shaped molecular structure. tRNAs have two regions of fundamental functional importance: the anti-codon, which is responsible for specific mRNA codon recognition, and the 3' end, to which the tRNAs corresponding amino acid is attached (by aminoacyl-tRNA synthetases). tRNAs cope with the degeneracy of the genetic code in two manners: having more than one tRNA (with a specific anti-codon) for a particular amino acid; and 'wobble' base-pairing, i.e. permitting non-standard base-pairing at the 3rd anti-codon position. Lineage: Eukaryota; Metazoa; Chordata; Mammalia; Rodentia; Sciuridae. The record is from Rfam by way of RNAcentral. RNAcentral also lists the same sequence under 2 other names.
GGGGUUGUGGCUCAGUGUGAUAGAGUGCUUACCUGGCAUGUAUGAGGCUCUGGGUUCGAUCCUCAGCACCA